This 239-nucleotide long non-coding RNA is filed under the name Lathyrus oleraceus (garden pea). RNAcentral describes it as "Pisum sativum (pea) long non-coding RNA (PSAT_LNC019037)". The record is from RNAcentral. Lineage: Eukaryota; Viridiplantae; Streptophyta; Magnoliopsida; Fabales; Fabaceae.
GAUGACAAAAAAAUAUUCAUAGUGAUAAUUAAAUAAUGAUACUAUAGAAAAUACUAUCUCAGAGUCAGAUGAGAGGUGACUCCCCCUAAGAUAAAUCAUAAGGAUUCUUCAGAAGUUCUUACCAGAUUUUCUUUGUGUUUUACCUUAGUUGUUAUCCUGCAUAACUUACAGUUUUCACAAUAGUUUUAAUGUGCGUAGUGCAGCAAGAGGCUUAGGUAUAUUUUCAUCAGAGUUGUUUU